Xenopus tropicalis (tropical clawed frog) is the source of this 67-nucleotide small nucleolar RNA. NCBI's taxonomy places the organism in Eukaryota, Metazoa, Chordata, Amphibia, Anura, Pipidae. The record is from Ensembl.
AAGCUGUGAUGAGUCUAUCCCGAACCUGAGUCUUUGAUGACACAAUUAUGGAUCUGACUGCUGAGCU